Molecule: transfer RNA, 70 nt
Filed under: Urocitellus parryii (Arctic ground squirrel)
Lineage: Eukaryota; Metazoa; Chordata; Mammalia; Rodentia; Sciuridae
Also listed under: 2 other names
Description: Spermophilus parryii (Arctic ground squirrel) tRNA
Rfam family: tRNA
About the family: Transfer RNA (tRNA) molecules are approximately 80 nucleotides in length. Their secondary structure includes four short double-helical elements and three loops (D, anti-codon, and T loops).
Source: Rfam by way of RNAcentral
GCGGUUGUAGCUCAGUGGUAGAGUACUUGCCUAGCAUGUGUGAGGCCUGGGUUCAAUCCUCAGCACCACA